AGCGAACGUUAGCGGCGCGCCUAACACAUGCAAGUCGCACGAGAAAGGGCUUCGGCCCCGGUAAAGUGGCGCACGGGUGCGUAACACGUAGGCAAUCUACCCUCAGGCGGGGGAUAACGUCCCGAAAGGGACGCUAAUACCGCAUGAGACCACGGACUCUUCGGAGACUGCGGUCAAAGCUGGCCUCUUCGUGAAAGCCAGCACCUGAGGACGAGCCUGCGGCCCAUCAUUGCUAGUUGGUGAGGUAAUGGCUCACCAAGGCUAAGACGGGUAGCUGGUCUGAGAGGAUGAUCAGCCACACUGGAACUGAAACACGGUCCAGACUCCUACGGGAGGCAGCAGUGGGGAAUAUUGGACAAUGGGCGCAAGCCUGAUCCAGCGACGCCGCGUGAGUGAUGAAGGCCUUCGGGUUGUAAAGCUCUGUUGAGGGAGAAGAAAACGGGUGGCGCGAAUAGCUCCAUCCCUUGACGGUAUCCCUUUAGAAAGCACCGGCUAACUCUGUGCCAGCAGCCGCGGUAAGACAGAGGGUGCAAACGUUGCUCGGAAUUACUGGGCGUAAAGCGCGUGUAGGCGGACCACCAAGUCAGGCGUGAAAUCCCUGGGCUCAACCCAGGAACUGCACCUGAAACUGGCGGUCCUGAGUGGUGGAGAGGGAAGCAGAAUUCCUGGUGUAGAGGUGAAAUUCGUAGAUAUCAGGAGGAACACCGGUGGCGAAGGCGGCUUCCUGGACACUAACUGACGCUGAGACGCGAAAGCGUGGGGAGCAAACAGGAUUAGAUACCCUGGUAGUCCACGCCGUAAACGAUGAGUGCUGGGUGUCGCGGGUUUUGACCCCUGCGGUGCCGUAGCUAACGCGUUAAGCACUCCGCCUGGGGAGUACGGCCGCAAGGCUAAACUCAAA
This 901-nucleotide ribosomal RNA is filed under the name uncultured bacterium. RNAcentral's name for it is "bacterial SSU rRNA". It matches the Rfam family "Bacterial small subunit ribosomal RNA", at positions 28 to 905 of the family's 1533-position model. The record is from RNAcentral.